AUCAAGGUGUCUGAUUUAAGUAAUAAACUGUAAAUUUAUUUAAGAAAAUAAUUUUUCUCUUGAUA
RNAcentral lists this transfer RNA (65 nucleotides) under Atkinsoniella grahami. RNAcentral's name for it is "tRNA-Tyr". Lineage: Eukaryota; Metazoa; Arthropoda; Insecta; Hemiptera; Cicadellidae. The record is from RNAcentral. RNAcentral also lists the same sequence under 1 other name.